GUGCCCAGAAUUUUGGUAUUGGGACCUCCCUCCCACAAGCAUUGCCUUCUCCUCCUGUUCUUAGGCCUUGGCUAUGGAAACCCAGCAAUGCAGUAGCAUCAGGAAUAAGGAUAAUUAAGAAUAUAGAAUUGGAACAUGAUUCCAUACUCUUCAUCAGUCUUCUCGGGAGGAUUCUGACCAAAUGACCUAAAGAUAAGGAUGAGCCCAUCCAUGUUGUAAAGUAAAAUACCAUUGGGAUUCACAGUUUAUUGAAAUUUAAUAAAAAUUAUUUCCAAAGAAUGAGAAUCCUGGGGUAGCGAGGCAAUUAAUUAAGCAAUUCAUCUUAAAAGAUGGAAUACUUGGAACACCUUAGCCAUCAUUCAAUGCCAAAAUGUUUGGGUUUUUUUCAUAUCACAUCCGUCCUAUCUUUUCAUCUUCAGUGAAUCAUUCCUCAUGUUUGUAAUUAAAGCCAUAUUUACCAUCAUAA
Molecule: long non-coding RNA, 466 nt
Organism: Homo sapiens (human)
Lineage: Eukaryota; Metazoa; Chordata; Mammalia; Primates; Hominidae
Source: Ensembl